RNAcentral lists this non-coding RNA (29 nucleotides) under Rattus norvegicus (Norway rat). Lineage: Eukaryota; Metazoa; Chordata; Mammalia; Rodentia; Muridae. The record is from RNAcentral.
UGGUAAGGCAUGCUUGCCCCUCACUCAGU